This 21-nucleotide ribosomal RNA is filed under the name uncultured Cupriavidus sp. Its description in RNAcentral is "partial 23S ribosomal RNA". Lineage: Bacteria; Pseudomonadati; Pseudomonadota; Betaproteobacteria; Burkholderiales; Burkholderiaceae. The record is from RNAcentral.
GUCAAGCGAACAAGUGCAUGU